GGGAAAUGAGAUUUAAGGAAGUUCGUUAUCACCGAGCAGGCCACGCUUCUCAAAUUUCUCUUACUGAAUCUAGGCCUCCAGGGACCUAAGGAAGCUUUCUGGAUAAAGAAACCAGCGCUGCUCCAUCCCAAAGAAGAGUGAUUUCCUGAGGUGAGGGUUCAUUCCGGGGAACCCAGGUGUUGCUGAUUCGUGGCAGCAAGGGGCCUCGCCUUGCCUGUAGAAAGCAGUGGUAUCAGUGUCGGUAUCAGACUUCACCUUGGCCUGAGGUGAGUGCUGCUCCCAGAACAGCUGCCCCAGUUCUCUCCAUGUGACCUGAGAUGUUGGUGACUCCAGCUCCAGGAAGUGGCCUGUGAAUCAGAGGGUAAAACCAGAAGAUUUCACUUAUACAGAUCCAAUGACUGUAUCUUUAUAAGAGAAAAGAGAGGAAGAUUUGGACACAAAGACACAGAAGAGAAGAUGCCAUGAAGAUGGAGGCAGAGAUCAGAGUAAUAGAGCUGACCAGCUGAGGGAUACCAGGAACCACUAGAAGUUUCAGGAAUUCGGGCUUCCCAGGUGACGCUAGUGGUAAAGAACCCAGAUGCCAAUGCAGGAGACAUAAGAGACAUGAGUUCAAUCCCUGGGUUGAGAAGAUUCCCCUGGAGAGGGAAAUGGCAACCCACUCCACUAUUUCUGCCUGAGAAAUCCUAUGGAC
This is a long non-coding RNA of Bos taurus (domestic cattle), 691 nucleotides long. NCBI's taxonomy places the organism in Eukaryota, Metazoa, Chordata, Mammalia, Artiodactyla, Bovidae. The record is from Ensembl.